This 253-nucleotide ribosomal RNA is filed under the name uncultured bacterium. RNAcentral's name for it is "partial 16S ribosomal RNA". It matches the Rfam family "Bacterial small subunit ribosomal RNA", at positions 524 to 776 of the family's 1533-position model. The record is from RNAcentral.
UACGAAGGGGGCUAGCGUUGCUCGGAAUUACUGGGCGUAAAGCGCACGUAGGCGGCUUUCUAAGUCGGGGGUGAAAUCCUGGAGCUCAACUCCAGAACUGCCUUCGAUACUGGAGAGCUUGAGUCCGGGAGAGGCGAGUGGAACUGCGAGUGUAGAGGUGAAAUUCGUAGAUAUUCGCAAGAACACCAGUGGCGAAGGCGGCUCACUGGCCCGGUACUGACGCUGAGGUGCGAAAGCGUGGGGAGCAAACAGG